This 19907-nucleotide long non-coding RNA is filed under the name Populus trichocarpa (black cottonwood). RNAcentral describes it as "long non-coding RNA (PTRI_LNC000944)". The record is from RNAcentral. Lineage: Eukaryota; Viridiplantae; Streptophyta; Magnoliopsida; Malpighiales; Salicaceae.
UUUUUCUUUUCUUUUUCUGCCAUAAUUUAAUUAAGACCUAGAACAUGCAGCUUUAGAUGAUUAGGUAACCCCCCUUAUAACUUGCAUCCAAAUAAGAAGUGAAGAACACUAUACUAUCCAAAUAAUAUAUAAGAGUGGUUGCUUGUGUUGAAGAUUCUAGAAUUGUCCUCCAACCAAACAGACCAGAUUAUCACAUAAACAGCAUGUCUAAGAAUGUCGCCUCAGUCUGUUAACCAACAGUUUUGUGUCAGAAAAACCUCCUCUAGGAUCUUAAGAUACAAACCUCUAAUUCCCAGAGAUUGAAAAAAGAUUAGUUUAAAAAAUUGGUUUUCUGGAGUUGCAUUGCUGCUAAAACUGAAAAAACGAACUUACCAAAAUGAUUUGUUGUGUGGCCUUUGCACCUGUAACAAGUUAGUAGUAUUAGCUAAUUAAGAUUUCAGAUCAAACAAGUGAUAUCUUAUCCUUCCUAGUAAGUUGUGACUUGACAUGCUCCAUAACUUUUAGUGCAUGAAAUUAUCUGUAAAUCAUACGCUACUUGUUUUAAUUCUAUUUGCCUUAGAUUUUGAUUAUUCCAAUAUUCAUGGCGGGCAUCUUUGAGUUUGCAGAGUAAGAGAACCAAGCAUCCAAGACUCGCUUUAGAGUAAGCAAUCAGUUAUGAGCUAUUCUAUCCAUCUGGUAUUUGUUGUUUUAUGUAUCCUAUUUCAAUAAUGUUUUAGCUUCUUAUGGUUUUUUGCUUGUCAAUUUUUGUUUAUGCUCGUUUGUUCAGUGAUGAUGAUGAAGAUAAGGUUGUUUGGAAUGUUGAAUGCCAUUACACUCAGGCUAAUAUUGAAGGUCGCAUCAUUAAUCUUGGAGAUUGUGUCUAUGUAAAGGUAAAUGCACCUAUUUUUUAUGAGAAUUUACUGAAGAUGGAUAUUUCUUUUCUUAUGUGCAACAUUACCAUUUCAUCUUCCUAUCAGGUUAAAUCAUCAUUAUUUUGAUGCUACUCAUACUUUUGCUACCCUAUGAUUAGGCUAUAUUUUUGAGGUCACAAGUCGCAUACCCUUGGUAGAAGCUGUUAUUCUAUGCAUGUUAUGUACGAGCUUCUUGUUAACAAUAUGGUGUCACAUAAUAUGAACUCAAAAUUCCAUUACAUAAUAGCUGUUAUUUUGCUCCAUUGCUUAUUUCAGCUUGUCAACCUCAUUUAAUUGACCAAGCAUUUGCUUGGCAUGUGUAUAUUGUUUGUCUCCCUUAACUCAGAUGUGGGAUGAUAUUUAGAUUAAAUGUUAAUCCUCUAAAUUUUUAAUUAACAAGUUCUAUAUAUUUUAUUUUUUUGUUACCUAAUCAUGCAGCAUUUCUUUAUUUUGCACUUGCCCCUCUGAAAUUGAUUUUUCAGGAUGGUUGCUAGCACAGUUUGGAUUAGCCUAUUUCGUAGUAGAGCUUAGGCACAAGAAUGGAGUAUUGCAUUGCCUACACUUCUUUUACUAAACUAUGAGGGAAAAAAGGUUUUGAGUUUUUUCAGAACCAUUAAUCUAUCUAUUGGAGCAAUUGUAGGGUGAAGGAGCAAAAAAUCAUAUUGGUAGUAUCUUAGAGUUUUUCAAGACAACAGACAGGGAAGAUUAUUUUAGGGUCCAAUGGUUUUACAGAGCUGAGGAUACGGUGAGUACAUAAAUUUUGUUGGAUUGAAUCAUUUAUUUAUUUUUGUAUUGAAUUCUUCGCUCUUCCGUCUCCUCAGGUGAUGAAAGAAGCAGCUGAUUUUCAUGACAAUAAGCGGUUAUUUUAUUCCACAGUGAUGAAUGAUAAUCCAAUAGAUUGCAUUAUUUCUAAAGUCACUGUUGUACAGAUAUCACCUAGGGUAAGGUUCAGUCUUACUUCUAGAUUUUUAUCAACUUCAAUAAUCUUCGGGAAGGCUGCCUUUUGAAGUUUUUGUAGGCUUUGAUGGCAUCUCUUCCUUUUUUGCCCUAAUUAAUUUAUUUUGCAUGCUAAUUUAAUAAAUUGCAACUUGUUUCAGGUACAUUUAAAAUUUCAUUCAACACCAGCGUCUGACUUCUACUUUGACAUGGAAUACUGUGUGGAUUAUUCAACAUUUCGAACUUUGCUGACUGGUAAGAAUUUAAAUUCUACUCCUGGUACCGAGUUGCUGUUUGAGUCUUGCUGCAAUUGCAUGUCAAAUGGAGGAAGGGAAGGAACAGUUUCAUCAUUCAAUGGAAGGCAUGAGAUAUUGGUCAGGAACCAAUGUGCUUGAUAAGCCCCAAACAUCAAAUUUCACAUUUUUCAUGCUUAGUAAAUUUUUAUCCCAACUGUUAGGUUUGUAGGUAAUGAGAGGGAAAGAAAGAACCUUAGGAUACUGAGAAAGAACAGCUAAUAAGAGACAAAUUCAACAAUAUCUUCGCUUCAUUCUAAUUCAAAAAACAUAAAAUUACAUAUUGACGCAUUAGUUGAUUAAAUCACCUCCCUUAAUGCCACCAAUUCUUAUCACAAAUCUGAGUCUUGCGUGUGGAGGACAACAUGGUGGAAAAUAAUUCCUUUGGAUCUUUUAUUCUUUCCUCCAAUACUUGCAUCAGCUGGAAGAUAGUCUAUUGUGGUAAGAGUGUUUUUUCCAGUAUGCAAUUAGGUAUUGUGGGUUACUGGUGCUUAUCUGUUGCCAAUCUUUUCUUCCUAGAUAAAAAGGUGCAUAGGUUGAAGCUAAAAUAGUAUCCUUGAUCAGUAUGAUAUACUGUUUGAAUUACUGUCACCAUCUAUCCACCUCGGAGAAACAAAAAAAACAGAUUCUAAAAGGGAAGAUAACACUUGUAUGUAAGACAAAAUUUGAGCUGGUUGAUGACAGUUUCAUUGCAGUGUCUGAAUGCUAUAAAUAUAAGCCAUUAUUGUGUAUUUUUGUUUGUUUUUGACUCUUUAAUGAUCAGAUAUUAUGCUGGCUGGUGGUGUUUGUAGGGAAGACAACACACUUUUCAAAAACAGCAGGAUUAGAUAGCAUCUGAUCUAACUAUAUCUUUAAGAUAGUCCAUCCAUUAAUGGUGUCUCUUAUCUUUCUCCAACUAAAUGAAUUUCUCAUACGCAUCCUUUUGUACGUUCUAGCAUGGAUACAUUCAUGUCAACAUUUUUAUGUUCAUUCACUCUGCCUCAGCUGAAUGGCAUAAAAGGAUGCAUACAGCCAACCCCAACUAGUUUGGAAUGCUCUUGUUGCCCCAGCUGUCUUUUAAGAAAGGCAUCUGAAUCAGUGCAGCAACUAGGGCUUAGGACUUUCAUAUUAUAGUGCUCUGUUCAGGUAGAAAAAGCAAAAAAAUAAAAUAAAAAAUAAAUUAACCAAUCUUCUUGUGCACUCUAUUAAUCUAUUUUUUGAUAUUUCACAGGCUAAAAGUAGGAAACAUUCAUCUUGUAUUUGUUCCAAUUUCUUUUCAAACAAAUCUUUAUAGUUCUGUUUCAGUAGGUGGUCCUUUGUUUUGUUUUAUGCCGUGAUGCUUCUCCAUUUGGGAACGUUGACUUUAAGUGGUGGUCAUCAGUCUCACUCCUAUUCUUUUAAGCACAAUAUAGUGGAGGGCUUUUUUCAAUUUUCAAGCUGGAUUGGUUUUAACUCAAAGUAGUGUGUAAAAGAGCCUAAUAAAAACCAUUUUUGGAAUCUCACAAGUUUCAGGAUUGAGUGGUACUUUCGCUUUAUUUUUGGCAUCCUGCUGCUUUUGGUUUUCUUGAACAGCCUGGUAAUUACCAUGUGUUUGCAUGACCUUGAAUUCCUCCUUUUGUUCCAUAAAAUAUACAAAACUGACUAUGAAACGAUGAAAGCUUUGAACCAGGCAUGACACUUAUACAUCUGAUGUUCUGUCUCCAGAUUGUUCAUUAAGGGGACAUGAGUUAUCACCACUGCCUUUCUGUGAUUCUCGAUCUGCAACUCCCAGUGAUAUUUCAAUGGAAAACAUGUCCACUUGUGGAAGUUACAAAGCAAAGUUGACACUACUAGAUCUUUUCUCUGGCUGUGGUGGAAUGUCAACUGGAUUAUGCCUGGGUGCCAAAGUUUCUUGUGUCGAUCUUGUGACGGUACUUUCUUGAAAUUUUGUAAUGUUACUUCCUUGAAGUCAAGAAAUUUCAUGUUUAAGCACACACGAUUGUUCUUUAGUUUUGUUCCCCUUUUAUUUUAGAGAUGGGCGCUAGACAGUGAUGAGUCUGCAUGUCAAAGCUUGAAGUUAAAUCAUCCGGAGACACAUGUGAGUGUGCCUGAUCUACCAUUUGAUCACUGCUAGUUCUUCUGUAAAAAAAUGGAAUUGUAUGAGAUAUAUGAUGGUCUUAAAUAUAGGUUAGGAAUGAAGCUGCCGAGGAUUUUCUUGAACUAUUGAAGGAAUGGCAAAAGCUAUGCAAACGUUAUGCGGUCAAUGAUGUAGGAAGGACACAUAAGUCACGGUCAAUGGCAUCAAGUAUGUCAAAACAAAAUAAAAAUUCUUCAAAUGAUGAUGAUAUUGCUUCUGGUGAAUAUGAAGUCGCUAGGCUUGUUGACAUUUGUUAUGGGAAGACCGAUAAGAGAGGAAAGCGUGGGCUGAAAUUUAAGGUACUUCAUGACAAUUGCCAUUCUCUAAAUUUCUGUUAGUUCACUGCAUAAGACAUCAUCUUUCAUACCCCAAACUUUAUAAUUAAUGGGAUGUUAAUUUUUAUAACUGCUUUUCAGGAUCAAUUCGCAUUAAAUAAAUAAACGAUUCCAAAUGGUUGUUAUUAAGGGAAGUCCUUGUCUCGUGCUUUUGAGAGUCAAGCUGAUGAUCUUGAUAUCAUUUUUAGCAUUAAAAAUAUAAACUGAUAAGUUUGCAAAAGAAUAGAACAUAUUGUAUUAGAAGAAUUUUGGACUUUGUGUUGAUAUAUAGCAUUAAUAAGUAAAAUUAGUGUUUAAGUACCUAUCCUUUUUCCUCUCAAAUUUUUAAUUGUGAAGUUUACUUGGGUUUUGACUACUUUCUGCUUAAGUCUACAAGCAUGUUCCCUAAAUAAUUUUUGAGGUCAAGUAUUAGAACAUGUUUAAAAUAAAUGGUAAAAAAGGCGUGAAAUUGCACGUUUAAAUAAAUGAAACUUUGUUUUCUCUUAAACAUCAUGGUUCAUAAUUCAUAUUCAUUUUUUGUUUGAUAUUGUAGUUUGGUGAAGAUGAUUUUCUACUCAUAGCUAUUUCGUUAGGUGCACUGGAAGGGUUAUAGUACCAGUGAAGAUUCAUGGGAGCCAAUUGAAGGCUUAAGGUAUGCUUUUUAGAAUGCAAUAUUUCUGCUUGACUCUGUCCAAUAUUACCUAUUGAUUUGAAAAUUUUCAGUAACUGUGAACAUUCUAUACGGGAUUUUGUAAGAGAGGGGUUCAAAUCCAAGAUCUUGCCACUUCCUGUGAGUUCUCUUUCACUGUUGCUACAAGUUGGGAUGCUGUCUAAACUUUUAUACCAGCAUUUUCCUAAUGAAUCAAUAUGUACCAGGGUGAUGCUGAUGUGAUUUGUGGAGGUCCUCCAUGCCAAGGGAUUAGUGGCUAUAAUCGCUAUAGAAAUGUUGAUUCUCCACUUGCUGAUGAAAGAAAUAUUCAGAUUGUAGUCUUCAUGGACAUAGUGCAGUUCUUAAAACCUAAAUAUGUGCUGAUGGAAAAUGUAGUUGACAUCCUUAGAUUUGACAAGGCUUCGUUUGCUAGAUAUGCUUUAAGCCGAUUGGUGCAUAUGAAAUACCAAGCAAGGCUUGGCACUGUUGCAGCUGGUUGUUAUGGUCUUCCACAAUUUCGGCUGCGUGUUUUCUUGUGGGGAGCUCAUCCCAAGGAGGCAAGUUUCAUAAUUCAUGGUGUCAAUCAUUAUGAUAUUUUAUAGUGAGCUUGACCCAUUCAUUUCCCCAAAACUUGUAUUUAGAAUAAGUCUAUAAGAAGACCAUUUAAAAUAGAAGAUGGCAUGAACAACCAUUCUCACGUGCUGUAAGUAAUCUUCAUUGGUCAAGUCAACAUGAAAUUUCAAUUGCUAAAAGACGUAACAUUCAUCAGGCAUAUAUGACAGUUUGAAUAUCUUGAUCUCUUUGUGAUGUUAAAUGACCAUCUAAUUGUUUUGUUUCUUUCUUUUCCCCUGCAGAAACUGCCUCAAUUUCCACUUCCUUCUCAUGAUGUUAUUGUCAGAUAUUGGCCUCCACCUGAGUUUGAGGUAUCAGUUUUCUUUCACGAAGGUCUGAAAUCACAUUUAUCUGCAGCCUAUAGUUAGUUGAUGAUUUGAUUGGUUAUUGCAGCGGAACACUGUUGCCUAUGAUGAAGAUCAACCUCGUGAUGAUCUAGAAAAAGCCACAGUUCUUCGUGAUGCCAUUUCAGAUCUUCCAGAUGUAGGUUCACUGUAUGCUGUAUUUCCAUUUAUUGAUGGACAACUUUUGUAAUUCUAUUUUACUCUCAUCUUACUUGAUGUUAAAGGUCACAAGCCAUGAAACCCGUGAGGAAAUGGCAUACGACAAGCCUCCAGAAACUGACUUUCAACAAUUCAUAAGGUCAACAAGAAACGGUAAUGUGAUUACUCUUAAAUUGCAAAAUUUGGUAAUAUUAAUAGUCUCAAUUGCUAUACCAGAGGCAUCACAAUAUUAUCUUUCGUAAAUGUAAAUGUGGAUACGGUUGGACUGUGAAAAUCCAACUGUCUAAAUUUGGGUGAUGAAAUAAUUGAAAUUUUAGUAUUACUAUGACAAGCGACUUGCAUAAUUAGAUUUUGAGCUUAUCUUAUCUAGAGUAGAGCCAUCUGUAAAUUAUAUAGUUAUAUAUCAGUAAUAUAGGGAUCCAUCUCAACUCAAUUAACUAAGUGGUAGUUUAAUAAGCUGAAGUUCCUAUAUAUACAAUUUCUUCCAUCUAUGGGAAAUCUUUUGUUUUUUACUGUUUAAGGCUACACCAGUGCCUCUCUACAUUCAAGCUGGAUAUAGGCUAAACCAUCUCAAAUGGUCCUCUUUUAUCUUCAAUUGGUUCUCAUGGUAAUCCAAUUCCUUCUUGUCUUCGUUCUCUUCGAUUUUCCAUCUCAGUUAUGCUUAUUGAACAUGAUGAUUAUGUCCGACAAUUUCUAGUAAGAAGCAUAAUUGGUCAAAUGGUGAAAACUUCCAUCUUAGUGGGUUCUUAGGAUCACAUAGUAAUCUAGUUGUGCAUCUGGAGUUCAACCGUCUUGCUUUGACUCUAUAGCUAACAAGCACCUGCCAAUUUCUAAGAAGCUUUUGCAAAUUCAUUGCUUAUAUUCCUUGGGAUAAUUUGCUCUCAAGCUGCAGAGAUAGUAAUGGUCUAUGAGAAAGUAAACGACUGAAUAUGUUUAUGGUUUCUUUUGACCAUUCUCUUCCUUCUUACUUCCCCUUGAUUUACUUUUUGUUCUUUUAUUCCACAUCUUGUCCCUGUGAGUUCUCGUUCAUUAUGAGUGUGUGUACUAAAUGUUUAACAUUACCAAAAAUAUAAUAAAAUGAGGUAGCUAUGAAAUAAAUUAAACUUUUCAUCUCCAUUUUUUGGGUUAUUAAAUAAAUUAAACUUUUAGAACAUUUUCACAUUAGAGAAGUUAUAAAACUUCAGCAGUAAACCAAUAAAAUAAUGUGGCAAAACAGAAAAACUUGACCAUCUUGGUUCUCUUUACCUUUCAUGCCAAAAGUUCUAUAUGCUAAAUGAAAGAAAAGCAAAAUGCAUGUCAAGAUUCAGAAUUUAACAGUAUAGAUCUAUUCAAAUUGCAGGGAACCUUAUCCUAACAAUGUUUCAUGGGGGCCAAAUUUGAAUUUUUUGGAUUUUUUGAGACCUAUAUUUGAGUUUGGUGGCUGUCUGACUCCUUUGUUGCUUUUUGCAAACAAGCUUGUGCCUUUCAUUGUCUUAACGUGACUGUUUAAUCUCAACCCUAUAGUCUCGUAAAUUGUGAGAGAUAAUGACAAAUACUGGCAAUAAAGUAGUGACAAAUUCUUGUGAUAAAGUUGAUGGGUUUGGAGCUCAAUCAAAAGUAGUCUAUGAACGAUUUUUUUUGUAAAAUUUAAUUAUAUGGUGAUUUUGUUUCUAUUUCCACACUGCAUGAGCACCUGAAAAAUGGACUCUUAGGUGGCUCAACCAUAGAUCUGUACAUCUUCUCUUUGCAUUUAGAUCUACUAUUGCUAUAGAUAGAUAUGAUACUCUCUCCUUUUUGUUUAAAUUGUUGCAUUGCAUAAUAGUUAUAGUAUCAAUUCCUUUGCAUGCAUUUAAGUUAACAUAUUCUCCUUCUUUUCCUAUAUGCUGCUAAAGUUACAAUAUGUUUAUUAAACUUGUUUCUGCUUGAUUUGAACCCUUUUGAGUUUGGACUCUAGGUUGCUUUCCCACUAUUCAACUUUCAAUUAACUCGAGCUCUCUUUUAAUCUACUAGAGUUGUUGCCACAAAAAGUUCAAGUCACAGUGUGUGAUCUGGAAUAUGCUUAAUUUUUUUUAUCCAUCAUCAGAGCAAAAAGAUAAAGAUUCAUAGCAGGUUUUGCUGUUGGUUAAUAAUGAUAAGAUUUAAAACUGUGUUUUCCCCAAUUGUAUUCAUGCAAGUAACUACCAUAUUGUACAUAUAAUUUUAUCACAAUUUUAUGAGUUCUUUCCAAACUGGAGUGUCAGCCAGAUGGAAGAAUGAAAAUCGAUCUCCUAUUUAAGGUUGUCAGCUUUUGGACCUUACAUUUGGUGAAACAUGCAUUUGUAUAUUUUAAAAAUAAGUUAAAACUUUGGGAGAGUUCAUGGAGCUAAUUGCUGACUACAUAAUUGUUUUUUAAUCUCUCUUCUGGCUCUGUAGAGAUGACUGGUUCUGAGCUCAGUGGAACAAGAAUGAUCAAUUUGCUAUAUGACCAUCGUCCUUAUUCAUUAACUGAAGAAGAUUUUGCUCGAGUUUGCCAAAUUCCUAAAAAAAAGGUUGGAUAAAUAUGGAUUCUGUGGAUUGGUAUGCUGAGAUUCAUUCCUUGAUUUUCUUUCUCAUGUAGAAAUUCUUUUAGGGAGCAAAUUUCAGGGACCUACCUGGUGUGGUUGUAGGAGCUGACAAUGUUGCCCGGCGGGAUCCAACGGAAGAGCAAAUGUUGUUGCCAUCCGGAAAGCCCCUGGUUAGUGCUUUAUUGCAUUUUCCUUUGACAGAUCGACUCUUUUUUUCAGUUAAUGAUUGUGAAAUAAAUUGCAGAUAGGAAUGCAUGUUUUAACUUAUUUUCCUGCAUUUCGAAUUAUGCAAUGAAAUGAUCUAUAGUUUUACAAUUAUUGUCUCCUAAACUCUUACUUAUUCUGUUAUAAGAAAAGUUAACUAGAGAUGGUUAAAUAGUUCUGUAGAUUCAUUGUGCUCCAAGAUAUAUACGUGAAUACUUCUAAACAACAAAAUGAAGGGAAUUUGCAGUCAAUUUGGCAGCCGGCCUCAACAAUGGAAGAGAAAGCAUUGAUACUUGAUCAAUCCUUUCUGUGCAGCCAGCUCCAAACACACUUUAAUGGCUUCAAGUUGGGUUCAAGAUCAUGUCUUGUCCCUGCCAAAUUAAAAAAAUAUUUUCCCUCAACCAGAACUAUCACUCACAUUUAAAGACUAACCACCUGAUCAUUACUGUUAAUAACCGUUUGGAAGGAAAUCAACAGUCAUAUUUUGAUCUCUUUUCAGCUAAACAUCCAAAUUGCACUUAGUAAAUACCUGUUUAUUGUUGGCGGGCAAGAAAUAAUAGAAUAAAACAUAUCAAUCCCAUGUUUAUUUCUGAAAUAUACUUUAGCAUACAAAAAAUGAUUUGGACAAGGGGGAAAAGAACAGAUAAGGUAAAUGGGAUUUGAAGUACUAAAAUAUUUCAUAAAGCUAUUGGGAGGUGGUUAAACAAAACGAGGUUGUUGUAAGGAACAGGAACAGACCAAAAGUUAUUGAAAUUUGUUGACUGGGUGAAAGGGACUGCAUUAUGGCCGUUGUAAAUUAGGACUUUGAUGUCAUGCUUAGUGGGUACUGGCACUCAUUUAAGUCGUGUUUUAUUUGCUUGUAGGUACCUGAUUUUGCCUUAAAUUUCGAAGGAGGAAAGUCUAGAAGGUUACAGUUUUUCUCCUGUUUCCUCUCUUAUAAAUUUUUUUCAAACAUUUUAAAGAUCUGAGUAUCUGUUUAGGCCAUAUGCGAGAUUAUGGUGGGAUGAAACAGUGUCGACUGUUGUUACUUUUCCGGAUCUUCACAGCCAGGUCCCUCCUUGCUCUUGUUUAAGCUUAUAAUCAUAUACUUUUUUAUUGUAAUAACUCUUCAUGCAUUUGUAGGCGGUGAUGCAUCCAGAGCAAGAUCGAGUUCUCACCAUACGAGAAUGUGCUAGGCUGCAAGGUUUUCCUGAUUAUUAUAGAUUCUGCGGGACAGUUAAACAAAGGUGAGUAUAUUUCUUCAGAAAAUUUCUAUUUUUUUCCUUUCUCAAAAACAUCUGACAGCGUCUGUGUGCAUACUUUUGAAAAGAAAAGGAAGACAUUUUUUAACCAGUGAACCACCUUGAGACUGACCUAGUGCUCAUAGCAGGUCAUUUGAAAAUUGAUUCAGAAAGAAAGAAACAGAAACCCAAUCAGAACUAGUGAAAGCCUGUCAAAACAAUCUGGUUUGACUGGAUGGGUCCGAGUGGCACCAGUCUAAAAUCUUUGGAUAAGAGUUGUGGAGAAUGAUAAUUGUCACUUGACAUUAGACUAAUUUAGCAUGUGUAUUAGUUAUAUUCCUUUGGUUGUUCCUAAUACAUGUUAACUUAGGUUUUUAGUUAUACCUAUUAUAUGUUUCCAUUGAAGUUAUUAUUAUUAUUAUUUUUUUAAAAUUUCAUUAAGGACUUAAAAACUUAAUAUAUCAACAAUCUAUCAUUACUUUGGCAUAAUUAUAGGCUAAUACAUAUAGUUUAGAUGCUAGCUUAACUCAAAUAAUUUCUAGUUAAACAAGCGGGUUGACCAAUUACCUGCCAGUUGACCCCGUUGCUUGAUCACCCAAUCUGUUUUCAAAACAACAGCUGUUGCAGGUGCUGUUUUUCCCCGGGGACAAAUCAGCACAUCAAAACGAUCCAAAAACAUAAAAAAAAAUUAGCAAAAAAAAAAAAUUGAAUUUUUUGAAAACAUGGGUUGGCCCGCGUUUCCAAACGGGGUCAUUCCGUUUGUUCUUUUGCAUUUGCGGUGUAAAAAACGCAGUUAGGUGUUUGGUAAUACACCAAACUGCGUUUUAUACUGUGGUGCCCACCAAAAAAUUGAGUUUGAAACGCAAUUUUUAUGAAGCAGUUUUUACGUGUUUUUUUUUUGAGUUUUGUAAAAUUCUGUUUGUUUUUGCGUUUUAGCAACUGCUUUUGGAUUUCUCAAAAGGUUUUGAAUAAUAGCGAGGCUGAAAGUUGUGCCCUGUUUAUAUGCUUUAGAACAGUGGUCCAAUCGAUGUUUGCACAGCCCUGCUAGUUUUGGCUAGUGAAUUUUGUUUCCAUAACUGGUUCUUUGAGUGAUGAAAUUGCUGUUUCCUACCUCCUAUAAAGUGUAUACACUGUCCAGUUCUCAAUCUCUUAUGUCUAUGUAUGCGUGGGCGUGCAGUGACGGCAGUAACGAGCAUGGUGUUUAUAUGACCAGCUUCUGAACUUUUUUGCAGGUAUCGUCAAAUUGGAAAUGCAGUUGCAGUUCCUGUAGGUCGUGCCUUGGGAUUCACGUUGGGGAUGGCAUUUCAAAAACUAAGUGGGGAUGAUCCGCUAAUGACAUUACCUCCCAAGUUCUCUCACUCAACUAACCUUCAAUUAGCUAAAUCACUGUUUCAGAAGGCUGAAUAAUAUUUACUCGCACCGCAACCUUUCAGAAGGCUGAAUAAUAUUUUUCCACACCGCAACUCUGUCAUCCAUCUCAUUACACGCGGCAUUAACGACGAGUUUUGCUUGCUGGGCUAUUCCUUUUUCCUCGAUCUUUUCUACCGGGAGAGGCAAGCUCGUGUCAUUUUUUCAUUGUAAUUGGAUAUCUGAUUUUUUGCAUAAAGAAACUCAUUGAAUAUCAAUGAGAAAUUUGUAGUUCGGAUUUAUUGUUUCAAUAAAACGCCUGAUGGCAACUGGAAAAAAAAGGUGUGUUCUUGUCAAUUUGUGAGUAUUUAUGGAGCCCCAAAUUAUAAAGAAUGUUUAUAAGAUAUUCUGUUCAAAGUUGAAGGACACGAUUACUUUUUAUUGAUAUCGGCUCACUUUAUGGCUGCGGAUUAACUGGUUUACCAUCAAAAUUUGAUUUCUUUUUUUACUUCAAAUUCAAUUGAUUUUUUAGAUUGUUUUUUUUAGUGUCUUGGAUCGUUUAUCACACUCCACUCUUGAAUGUACGGUGAAAUUAUUAUUUGUUGAGUUUGGCAAAAAUGUUUUAUUUAUUGAUUUGUUUAUUCAUGUAUGUGCAUGGAGAGUAUUCUUUAGAUCCAAAACAAAAUGUUGUGCAUGUAUUCUUUAGAUCCAAAACAAAAUGUUAUAUAUAUAUAUAUAUAUAUAUAUUUUACCCUUAAUAAAACCUUGAUAAUUUUUUUUUAAUAAGCUAUAUAUAUUACGUUCCAUAUAAAUACGGUGGAUGGUAGAAGUAUGCCUCCAUUCUAGAUAAUUUUUGCAGUCUUUUUUCUUCUAAUAAUUAUUCUUUUAAUGGGCUGCAUACUUUAUUUAAUAGAAAUUGGAUAUAAAAAAAUAAUUAUAUGAGCACGAUGUAAAUAAAGGACUGAGAAUUAGCUCCAAUGGAAACGAAGAUUUGGAAGUUGGAAGGGCUUUUAUUGAGACAUAUUUCCCAUUUUUUAUGUACUUCCAUCGACAUUUCUACUUUUACCAAUACUGCGACAAACCAGAAAGCUAACCCCUAGGAGUCCCAAAAUCAAUUACAUUAAAAAUAAAACAUUAAAAUUCCCAAAAUCAAUGACAUUAUAUUUACCGUGUGUAUAGAUUUAUUGCAUUGUAGAUUACUAAAUUGCAAUAUUUUCUUUGCCCUCCAUUCCAAAAAACAAAUGGUACAAUCGUAUUUUCAAAGGUAUCUAUUUAUCAUUAUACAAUUGAUCGUGGUUCUAAUGGUCCAUCACUUUUUCUUUUUUUUUACGGUUAGAUAACAUUAUUGUCCUUAAAUGAUAUUUUUAUAAUGGCUCUUUCAUUAUAAUUUAUUUUUAAUAGGAGUAAAUCAGUAUUUUAACAAAUAAAAUAAUAAUAAAAAAGUGGUUGGUGCGUGCUAUGCAUGUGUCGGCAAGUGGAUGUUGUCCGCGCUCUUCGGGCGACACGUGUUGUGUCUUACGGUGGCAAAAAAUUCCCAACCGUCAUGUCGUCUGAAGCAUCCAAUGGAGGUGUAGUUGAUGGGGUAACGCGUGUAGUCAAAUUUGCAGUAGUUCAGCGAUGGCAAUGUUAUAUAUUAUUGAUCACAAGUUCACAGGUUUAAUGAGUUUAUCUACUGAUUGGAUAUGUUUUUUUUUGUCCAUUAAUUGUUUUUUUUUUAAAUUUCAUCAUUCAAUAUUGGAUUAGUUGAGAAAUAAAAUGCAUGGUUUAUUUUUAUUUACUUUCUAUAGGGUUAUCAUUGUCUUAAAUAACUGUCUAUUUUUAAAUUGAUGCUCAAUUUUGUGAGUAUAUAUUUUUAUCAUAUAAUUAAAUAAAAAUAGUUUAUAAAAAAAGUUAUUAAACUCAAUAGAGUCCAUGACCCGGGUCACGGGGGACUGAGGUUGACUUAAUUUAUCAUUGUCUCAAUAUUUUUUUUUUAAAAAAGUUACCAUCUUGAAGUUUUUUUAAAGCUAAGCCAUGUUUCUACCAGUCAUCAAGAUUGCAUUUGGACCCAUGAAAUCGAUCGAUUUAAUUCGAGCUAGCUCCCAUGAGGUUUAAUUGAAAAUUUGAGUUAGACAAAGAGCUGUGUCAGGAGGUUUUAAGAUUGAACCAUAUGACAGGUUUAAUAACACUAUCAAAAAGUUUUCACGCUCUUAAUAUCUUUUUUACAUUUAAAAAUUAUAAUUCGAUCCAUGGAAUGACUAUUUCACAACUAAUGACUAGGAUUUCUAUACUAGAAAAUUGAGGUGUGUGCAGAGUUAGAACAUGUUUGGGAACGCGGUGCAAAUCGCGUUCCCAAAAAAUUUAAUUUUUUUUUGCUAAAAUUUAAUAUGGUUUGUACGUUUUGGAUCGUUUUGACGUGCUGAUGUCAAAAAUGAUUUUUUAAAAAUAAAAAAACAUCAUAGGCAUGCAUUUCGGCACAAAAAGUUAUUUGAAAAGCAACCGCUACCACACUGCCAAGCACCCUCAUAUGAGGAUCCAUGUUGGACAAAGCCAUGAUGAUUUUGAAUUUUAAAAAAUCCAUUCAGAAAAAGAUUAAAAGCAAAAUAAAUAGAAAUCAUAAAAAUAAGGAUCAAAUUUGAUUAAACAAAACAUAAAAAUUAAAUUCUAAGGGAUGAAAUUGAAAAACAAAUAAAUCAAAUUCGAUAUAAUUAAAAGAUUGAGGACCAUUUUGCAAGGCUAACACACAUUUUGAGGUGGAGGAGAGAGAAAAGAUGGGGAAGGAGAAAAAUUAUCGUCGGAGCUCCUCCAUGCUAUGGAUGCAGACAUGUGCCACCCCACCAUGUAGAGGGUGACGUGUUGCUUCAGACGCUGCCCUAUAAGUCUACCAGUGGCCACCAGGAGGUGCCGCACGGGCUGCUUAAAAGGCGCAGAUGCCUUCCUCUUGCCAGCUACUUGUUCUUUGAAUCAUAGAAAGAUCAGAAAACCCUUGACCUCACAGGAUAAUUGUAAGAAAACCAAGGUUAAAAAACUGGAAGUACCCGUUGACAUUAGGCAAAAAAAAAAAAUGACCCCAUAGGCUAUGCAGUAAUUACACUGUAAAAAAAAUAUGAAAAUCUAAAAACGUCUCUCGAACAUUAGUUGUUCCAUCGUUACCCGGUUAACUUGACAAGUUUAAAGAUAAUUCAGAUAACCAAUAAAAACAUAAUUUGACUAAAAAAUCUCAAGAUGACGUCUUUUUUUUUUAAUACUAGGAUAACAACUUAUUGGAUCGAUAUAGAUUAACCAGUCAAAGUCGCUACCCUGAUCAUGAGAUUUUGAUAACCCCAUGAAAAAUAAAUCGAAAUGAAUUAUGAAACUUAAUUUCCAAUCAAUCCAUUAUUGAAGAAUGAAAUUGAAAAAAAAUCAAUUAAAAAUAGGAUAAAAAUAUAAUCCAAGUUAAUCUGGGUUAGCAUGACAAACUCGCGAUCUAGGUCAUGAAACUGGAAGAAUUUCAUAGAAAGCAAACCGAAAAAAAUUAAUGAAACUUAGUUCACAAGAAACCAAAAGUUAAACGAUGAAAUUAAAAAAUGAAUCAAUAAAAAAAUUUAAAAAACCUGAGUUAACCUGUCAAACCCGGGACUUGGUUCAUGAGAUCAAAAUACACUUAUAAAAAGCAAAUAGAAAUAAAAUAUGAAGUUGAAUCUCUAAUAAAUUUAAUAUUAAAAAAAUAAAAUAAAAGCAUUGUUCUUAUGAAUACGAGUAUAUUCUUUAUUGAAUGAUUUCAGUUUAGUAUACAUUUCUAGUUCAUAUAUAUAUAUAUAUAUAUAUAUAUAUAUAUAUAUAUAUAUAUAAAAUCAAUUUUAUGUAUAUUAUUAUCUAUAUUAUAUAAACGAUCUCAAUGUGCAUCAAAGGAAAAAAAAAGGAAAAUAAAAGAAAAUAAAAACUCGUAAACCCAUGUAGUAGAGUACAUGAAGAAUAAUUCAUUAUUUUUAAAAUCCUUUUAUUUUAUAAAUAUUUAAGAGGGCUUGCUUUAUAGUUUUUAGGGACACAAUUGAAUAAUCCAUACAUCUAUAGUAAUCAAAAUAAACUUUGAGAGGCCAUGCCCCCCUCUUAUCCUGAAGCUUAAAGCCACCCAGCUCUCACCGUCGGCACUGGCUGAUCCUUGAGAUGGACCACCGCCCACAUGUCAAACACCGUCGUUUCAAUCAGCAUUAUAUGGCUCCAAUUUUGUCCCCUCCUACACUUCCCACGGGGCCCCCCCACGUGACUCCACUAAUAUUCCUUCCAUCUUCUCCGCCGGCGAAUAUUCCACGCUGGCUGGUACGUGGCAUCUAAUCUUUUACUUCUCAUGGUCUCAGUGACCACCUCACCGUCGAUCAUCUUGACGUUUCCUCAAGAUGCAUCUGACAGUUAUUAUGGGAUGUUGAUGUACAAAUGAGCAUGGCGACACAAAGAUCUGUUCCAAUUGUAAAUCUCUUCAAUCAUGUAGCUUCAGAUUCCUCGCCGAGAUUUCCUCUGCAUGUCCAUACACGUAUUAUAAAUACUAUUUUUUUUCCCAUAUAAAUACAUUCCUCUUCUAUUUUGUUUUUUUUUUAUAAAUAAAAUGCCCUGUUAAAAAAAAAACUUUGCAAAUAAUAAAACUGUUACUUAAAAGUGUUUAGUUUUUAUAUAUAUAUAUAUUCCCUGCCUGAAUAAAAACAAGAAUUCUAUGUUUUUUUUCUAUAUUGCUAUGUACACUUGUUGAAUUUUGGUCACUUGCUCUUGCAAGGAAUUGCUUUACUGCAGGAACAUUCAAGUCCUCUUGGCCCUCUUUAUGCUUUCUUCAUAGCCAUCUCUUCCCUCUUCGCUUUUGGAUCUUCUUAUGUUCUGGCAGGGGAGAAUUUUAGGAAGAGCAAAAGCAAAAAACCUGCUUGAGGACUUGUUUCUCCAGUCAGUGAUUGUUUCAUGAAGUACAGAAGCUAGCUUUAGUUGGAAACUUUGGGUGUUGUAUUAUAUAUAAAACAUGGAGAAAACAACAUUUGGUGGUGGAGGAGGGAGUUAUCCAUACGAGAACGGGGUGGUGAUGAUGACAAGAGACCCAAGGCCAAGACUUAGAUGGACUGCUGAUCUUCAUGAUCGUUUUGUUGAUGCUGUCACCAAACUUGGUGGCCCUGAUAGUAAGUUCACUCAAAUUAUUCUUCUUUUCUCUUGUUUGAACUUCAUUCAAUAACUAGCUAGAGAGAUUGAUAGCUUGCUUGAUUAAGUUGCCCAUAUUGAUUGAAAUAGCCAUUAGUACGCUUAGCUCAUUAGGAUUCUUCCAGGAAAUAUGAUUACAGCUACUGCGAGUCUUCUCCUUCGUUCUGACUAGAUUAUAACAGAAAUCAUAAACCCCCAUAAAAUAAUUUCAGCACUACAUCAGAAACAUCAGCCCCAGUAAUAAUAAACUGCUGUAAAUGCUGCUGUUGGCAUUUUGAAACAUGAAAAUGACAGUACGUAUAAUUCAUAUAUCUGGUCUAUUACUAUCCGAUUGUUCACAAUAAUUGUAUGAACUUAAUCAACCUGAGUCUACACUUCAAUGUUCUCUGUGUAAUCUUAUAGUGAAUCUAAUUAUAUAUAGAAUGGAUUUAUUUUCAGAGGCAACUCCAAAGUCAGUGUUGAGGUUAAUGGGAUUGAAGGGUUUGACAUUGUACCAUUUAAAGAGUCAUUUACAGGUACAGUUUCAAGUUUUAACACAACUAUUGCUGCUCUCAUCAGUGUUACUUGUUCUAUUUCCUUUUUCUUUGCCCAUUAAAUUGUGAUUGUGUAAUUAUGCUGGCUUAUUUAUCUGCAGAAAUACAGACUUGGGCAGCAGGCUCGAAGACAGAACAAUACAGAACAAAGCAAAGAGAGCAGAGGUUAGUUCAUCACUGCUUUUCUUUCAUUGUUCCAUUUUUCACCACAAAUAACUCAUUUUAGUUUAAAUGUUGGCAGUAGAUCCAAUUUUAUCUCAUAAAGUGUUUACAAGAAUUUGUACAAUCGAGUAGUUCUUUGAACAAAUAUUCUGAUGACUUUCCGUGCACUCAACUUCUAGGAGCUUCAUAUGUAAACUUCAGUAAGGGCUCCUCAGGGACAAGCACCAGUUCACCAAGAAUCGAUGAAGAACAAGGGUAUACGUUGCCAUCUUUCUUCUGUAUUUUUAUGUAGCUUGUUUCUAUAAAAAAAAAUAACUUGAAUUUUUCUGAAUGACUCAAGCCCUCAAUGGUGUGUGCUGUGUGCAACCAUUUUUUAGCUACAUCCACGAAAACUUGUUUCCUUGAACAUAGCUUAUAUCCAUUAAAGCUUUAAGCUUUUGUUUUUCCUUUUACCCCAGCAUUUCCUUGAUGGAGUGUGUAUGCAGUAGUGAUGGUUUGAGAAGGAUCUAUCGAAUCACGUGAUUUUUUGUUGAUUACUAUUUUCUUUUAUCUUUUUUCCCGUGAGAUGAAAAGAAAAAUCUGCCUUGACUUUAAAAUUAGCUUAACCUUAAGAGUAAUCUCAUCUGGAAUUCUCCUUCAAACUAUAUUUGCAAACUUCUAUGCUGGUACUAAUUAAUGUAGUUCAAUACAGAGAAAUCUCAGUUGCAGAGGCAUUAAAUUGUCAGAUUGAAGUACAGAAAACAUUACAAGAAAAGCUUGAGGUAUGGCUUUCUCAUAGAGUUCUGGUAGUUGCUCCUAGAAAAUCAACAAUAUCACUUCACUCGGCUAGGUCAUUCUCGAAUUUCUUAUUUGAUAUAUCGAGUUGGUCUUUUCUCCAACAGGUACAGAAGAAGCUGCAGAUGAGAAUAGAAGCUCAAGGGAAGUACUUGCAGGCCAUACUGGAGAAAGCUCAGAAGAGCCUCUCACAAAACUUGAAUGACGACAGCAAUGGAAAAUUAAAAGCCACAAGAGCUCAUUUAACAGGCUUCAAUUCCGCUGUUUAUAGUCUCAUGGAGAACUUGAAUGCAGAAGAUAGGAAACCAAGCAUCACUGAUUUGAAAGGUAUCAAUAUGAAGGAAAAUGGUCCGGCUAUGCAUAUUCAGAGAGAGGGACAGACACAGGAAACCAAAGAUGUUAAGCACCACCUUCAAGGGGAUUCCAUACAUUUUGACUUAAACACCAAAGGUAACUAUGAUUUUGUCUCUGCAAAUGGAUCUGAAUUGGAACUCAAAAUGCUUUCAUAUAGGAGAUAAAUUAGUGGUAAUAUUUACCAAUUACUUCUAUAACAAACAACUGUAACUGCUUAUAGUGUGACCCUCAAAAGCUGCUUAUAAAUUUUGUAGAAAUUAGAUUUUGGAGUUCUUUUUACUAUCUUUUGAUUCAUAGGGAGGCCUAUCUAUUCUGGUCACUGCACAACCAGAGUACUUUCCUGGAGUUGUCUGUGUUUGUUUUUUAGGUAAUUCUCAUUAUAGGAACAUUUUAAACUAUUCCAAAUCUACAGUAACUUGUGUUCAAGAACCAUCCCUCCACACAUGCUCAUAGAAUGAAGUGCUCUUUGUUGCAAGAAAUUCAUAUUUUUAUUCUCCCAUCAAGGAAAAGAAUGUUCAAGUACUGUACCAAUCGUUCUCAUAAACUUCGUAGAAUGGAUUGAUUGGCUUAACAUUCUUGUCCUUAAAACAUUCCACGCAAUUUGUUCUUUCAUCUUGUUGAUGAUACAGAAAGUUGAUAGAAGUGUAAGAAAUAUUUAGGAUGGAAAUAAAUAUGGAGUUGGUUUAAAGAUGUGAAAUUAAACACUGUUUUUAAAGUGUUUAUUUAUCUCAUACAGAGAUAAUAUCUUCAGGAUACAACUAAGUCCUUUAAAACUCUAAAAAAAUAAAAAAACAAGACAAAAAAUAAAUAUAUAUUUUUAUUGUGUUUUAUAUAUAUAUAUAUAUAUAUAUCAAACAGUAUGACUGUUCAUAAAACAAUUAUAUUUUAAAUUAAAUUGAAUAGCUGCUAUUUAGUUUUAUCUCAACAGUUAUAAAUGUUAAAAUUAAUUAAAAUUAAUUACGAAAUUAAUUCAAAGAUAAAUUAAUCUCACUGAAAUAUUUCAAAUGUCAUCUUUUAAUAUUAUAAAUAUUCAUAUAAUAGUAUUAGAAAACCAAAUAGAAGAGUUCGUAUACAAUAGCUUAAUUUAUUUCACAAUAAAAAUCAAUACUUAUAAACAUCAAAAGAGAAUGUUUUUUUUUUUAAUAUAUGAUAGAGAUCCUUUCUUUCUUUAUUCAUUCACGAUCUACACCAACAACAGAAGCUUCUUAGAUAUUCAUUAUACUGCUUUUGAUAGAUACAUAGAACGUGGUUUUCUUCAAAGGAAGAUUUUCAGAUAUUCAUCCAUGCGAGUGUAUUUCACUUCUGGAUAAAGGUCCGAAGCUUCUUCUCCUAUUUCGAAGUUUGUCAAACAGCCUUCAUAGAAAAU